UACGUAGGUGGCAAGCGUUGUCCGGAGUUAUUGGGCGUAAAGCGCGCGCAGGCGGUGCGGUAAGUCUCUGGUGAAAGCGCUCGGCUUAACUGGGCGAGGGCCGGGGAGACUGCCACGCUGGAGGGGAGCAGAGGCGAGUGGAAUUCCGGGUGUAGUGGUGAAAUGCGUAGAGGUCCGGAGGAACACCAGUGGCGAAGGCGGCUCGCUGGGCUCUACCUGACGCUGAGGCGCGAAAGCGUGGGGAGCGAACCGG
RNAcentral lists this ribosomal RNA (253 nucleotides) under uncultured bacterium. Its description in RNAcentral is "partial 16S ribosomal RNA". It matches the Rfam family "Bacterial small subunit ribosomal RNA", at positions 524 to 776 of the family's 1533-position model. The record is from RNAcentral.